Molecule: long non-coding RNA, 295 nt
Filed under: Penaeus monodon (black tiger shrimp)
Lineage: Eukaryota; Metazoa; Arthropoda; Malacostraca; Decapoda; Penaeidae
Description: uncharacterized LOC119571596
Source: RNAcentral
UUAACUGAAGCCAUUUCCGAGCUGCCUGAGCUGCCCAGUACAACCUGACAUGCUACAUUUCAUCGAGGUCAAGAAGUCCCUCAUGCACUCCUGCGUCAUGAACAUGGCUAUGAACAUAGCCGAAGAGGCACUAACAAGGACUGGGCCUGGCCAAAACUGACUUUAUUCAUGAAUGUCUUCAAAAGCAUUGAGAUUUGUGAAAUGGGAUCCCUGGCUAUUGAGUUGAUGUUCUCUUAGAAUGAUACCCUGAUAAGGCAACACAUGUAUUCCAAAUUAAUGAGUGCAGCAUAUUUAU